RNAcentral lists this ribosomal RNA (329 nucleotides) under Lactococcus garvieae. RNAcentral's name for it is "bacterial SSU rRNA". It matches the Rfam family "Bacterial small subunit ribosomal RNA", at positions 91 to 415 of the family's 1533-position model. Lineage: Bacteria; Bacillati; Bacillota; Bacilli; Lactobacillales; Streptococcaceae. The record is from RNAcentral.
UGAAGAGCGGGAAGGGAGAGUAACGCGUGGGAAAUCUGCCGAGUAGCGGGGGACAACGUUUGGAAACGAACGCUAAUACCGCAUAACAAUGAGAAUCGCAUGAUUCUUAUUUAAAAGAAGCAAUUGCUUCACUACUUGAUGAUCCCGCGUUGUAUUAGCUAGUUGGUAGUGUAAAGGACUACCAAGGCGAUGAUACAUAGCCGACCUGAGAGGGUGAUCGGCCACACUGGGACUGAGACACGGCCCAGACUCCUACGGGAGGCAGCAGUAGGGAAUCUUCGGCAAUGGGGGCAACCCUGACCGAGCAACGCCGCGUGAGUGAAGAAGGU